AAGACUACAGACUACACCCCAGCUGAACCAAUCCAAAGAUCCGAUCUUCCAGAAUCAACCUACUUUCUGUUCUAUAUAUAAGUGGUGUAUUGAUUGUAACGGUCUCUUUGCCUGCAGUUCCGUACGAACUAGCGGAGGAGCCGUAUUACGCUGUUCUAGAUAUCUUCACUCUGAAUAAACUGUCGCUUGUCAUACAAUUUACCACCUUGUCUGAAUCGAUCCUUGACCGACUCGCCCGUCUACAUAUCUAAUUUCUAACAGAACUUGGUAGGCAGAGGAUGGUUUACUAACGAUCCAGUCGAAGUGAGUUGAUUUGGGUGUGAGAAGGCGAGUUGGUGAAAGGACGGUUCACGGAGGACGGGUGAAGACUUUCGGGGGAGGACAACAAUUCUGCUCAACUCGGAAAACUGAUCUCAAGGUGCACCAUAAAAAAGCUCUUUCCAAACAGAUACACAAAGUCCAUGGGGGGGAGCUGACGGGAGAUCCAGAGCAACCAAGGGUAAAGGUCGGAGACUGGGUAAGGAUCAUGGUCCACAAGAGAAAGUGGCAGGAUCCCAGGUGGACUGGACCGUACGAAGUGAAGGAGGUUACUUCACACUCGGUCCAGGUCAAAGGUAAAUCAGGGGCGCCUUGGCACCACUUGACUCAUUGUGCACCAGCUUCGAUACCCAAUAGAACACUGACAGAGGUCAGGGUCGACUUGAGCGACUUGAAUUCGGCUCCAAUACAACCCGAUUAGCAGGUGACGAUGUGGACCAGACUCCCAUCAGCAUCGGCUAAUAGGCCUCCUAGAGACAGGGGUUAUCCCUGGACUAGACUGGGCAUAUCUGGCCCCGGUUUAUUCGUGUGUUUGUAAAUGCAUAUGUCUACUGAAUGAUAAAUUGAACGAAUGUUUAGACAAUGUUUUAGAUGUGUUGACUAUAUUGAGUGAAUGUUCAAACAAUGUUUUAGAUGUGCUCUGGCGUAAAUGAAGAUUUGUGAGACUCAAAUCGUGUGCAUGAAAUAUGCUUGAUAUUCAGUCGGGGACUAAUAUCGGUAUGAAUGAGGUCGGGGACCAAGCGAGUGUGGUACAUUAGGUAUUUCAGUUGGAGCUGGUACCGGUGAGUGUUGAAAAAGUCGCAGGCUUGCUGAUGAGAGUUAUAUCAUAGAAUAUUGAGGGGGUGUGCAUGACUGUUGGGAAAAAAAAAAAAGUGUUCAACUCUAUUAACGUGAAAUUCUUUUUGUAGAUUUGGGGAGACAAUUUGGAGAAACACGAAUAAGACAUGAAACAUCGA
This is a long non-coding RNA of Oncorhynchus tshawytscha (Chinook salmon), 1274 nucleotides long. RefSeq lists it as uncharacterized. NCBI's taxonomy places the organism in Eukaryota, Metazoa, Chordata, Actinopteri, Salmoniformes, Salmonidae. The transcript is spliced from 2 exons. The record is from RefSeq and is a predicted model, not a curated record.